RNAcentral lists this ribosomal RNA (492 nucleotides) under uncultured bacterium. RNAcentral's name for it is "bacterial SSU rRNA". It matches the Rfam family "Bacterial small subunit ribosomal RNA", at positions 899 to 1397 of the family's 1533-position model. The record is from RNAcentral.
ACUCAAAGGAAUUGACGGGGGCCCGCACAAGCAGUGGAUUAUGUGGUUUAAUUCGAAGCAACGCGAAGAACCUUACCAGGUCUUGACAUCGCAUGCAUAGCAUGGAAACAUGUGAAACCCUUCGGGGCAUGCAGACAGGUGGUGCAUGGUUGUCGUCAGCUCGUGUCGUGAGAUGUUGGGUUAAGUCCCGCAACGAGCGCAACCCUUACUAUUAGUUGCUACGCAAGAGCACUCUAAUGGGACUGCCGUUGACAAAACGGAGGAAGGUGGGGACGACGUCAAAUCAUCAUGCCCUUUAUGACCUGGGCUACACACGUAAUACAAUGGCACUUUAACAGAGGGUCGCUACACCGCGAGGUGACGCUAAACCCGAAAAAGUGUCUCAGUUCGGAUUGCAGGCUGCAACUCGCCUGCAUGAAGUCGGAAUUGCUAGUAAUCGCGGAUCAUCAUGCCGCGGUGAAUACGUUCCCGGGCCUUGUACACACCGCCCGU